Molecule: ribosomal RNA, 340 nt
Filed under: uncultured bacterium
Lineage: Bacteria
Description: bacterial SSU rRNA
Rfam family: Bacterial small subunit ribosomal RNA
Source: RNAcentral
GAUGAACGCUAGCGGCAGGCUUAACACAUGCAAGUCGAGGGGUAUGCUUCUUCGGAAGCAGAGACCGGCGCACGGGUGCGUAACGCGUAUGCAAUCUACCUUUUACAGAGGGAUAGCCCAGAGAAAUUUGGAUUAAUACCUCAUAGUAUUAUAGAAUGGCAUCAUUUUAUAAUUAAAGUCACAGCGGUAAAAGAUGAGCAUGCGUCCCAUUAGCUAGNGGUAAGGUAACGGCUUACCAAGGCUACGAUGGGUAGGGGUCCUGAGAGGGAGAUCCCCCACACUGGUACUGAGACACGGACCAGACUCCUACGGGGAGGCAGCAGUGAGGAAUAUUGGACAA